This 377-nucleotide unclassified non-coding RNA is filed under the name uncultured bacterium. Its description in RNAcentral is "contains 16S-23S intergenic spacer region". The record is from RNAcentral.
UCCGAGUUGACCCCGGCAGUCUCCUAUGAGUCCCCGCCAUCACGCGCUGGCAACAUAGAACGAGGGUUGCGCUCGUUGCGGGACUUAACCCAACAUCUCACGACGCGAGCUGACGACAGCCAUGCACCACCUGUGAUCCUGCCCCGAAGGGAAGACCUGUUUCCAGGCCGGUCAGGAACAUGUCAAGCCCAGGUAAGGUUCUUCGCGUUGCGUCGAAUUAAACCACAUGCUCCGCUACUUGUGCGGGCCCCCGUCAAUUUCUUUGAGUUUUAACCUUGCGGCCGUACUCCCCAGGCGGAGAACUUAACGCGUUAGCUGCGCCACCGAGACUCCAAGAGCCCCGACAGCUAGUUCUCAUCGUUUACGGCGUGGACUAC